CAAUGACAGACACACAGAGUUAAAACAUCCCCACAAUGCAUCCUAACUUCCCUCCCUCUGUCCUGGAGAUAAUUGGGAAGUAAUCCAAUUAUCUCCCAGGACAGAGGCAAAACUCCAUUAACCACAUAGCAGUAAAAGACAGUAAAAGACAUAAAAAUGUAUAAAGUUACAACUGUUGCACAAAACAUAUACAUUCUACCUAUCCCCAGAUAGCUUAGAUCUGAGCGCACAAAAGUAUCAAAUAGCGCUCAGAUCCUAUGCACACAGUCCAAUCGCUGAGGAGUUAAAGUGUUCACAAAGUCUCUUCUCCAUACGAAUAGACUCCACGGGAUGGCUAUCUGGGGUAAUGCUGUUCAUACGGUUUAAACUACCGAAUGAACAGGCAUCCGGUUAAAUGACCGAAUGCAGAAGCAAGGAGGCUGAUGGCUCAGCGGUGUUCGCACAAAUAAGUGUCCGUUUUCAGUUCCAUGAGUUGGGCGUCGAACACCACUGUGCGUUUGCGUGUUUAAAAUGGCCGCGACCUCGUGUUCGGUAUACGAAUGGCGGCCACCCAGCAUUCGUCAAUUAAGCUGCGGUUAACCGACGCUUCUGGGAGGUUAAUUGCCGACACACUCCAGCUGCCAGGUGGUCCAGUCAUUUGUGCAUUAGUUCGGUAGAUUGAAUCUACCAACCGCCGGGCAGAAAGGCACGAAUAAGCCUUUUCUGCAGGGGAAAAGAAGGCUUUUAACAUGGGGCCAUAAUCCAAAGGCAACAGGUGAGCAACCAGGCUUCUCCAAUGCAAUGUGGCGAGAUUGGUCUGGUCACAGUUAUAUUAAUGGGGAGCAGUGGGGGAUGGUUAUAUUAGUGGGGGGUGAUUAUUUUAGUUGGGAGCAGGGGGGAUGGUUAUAUUAAUAGGGAGCAGUGGAGGGAUGGUUAUAUUAAUGGGAGCAGGGGGAUGGUUAUAUUAAUGAGCAGUGGGGAUGGUUAUAUUAAUGGGGAGCAGGGGGAUGGUUAUAUUAAUGGGGAGCAGUGGGGGGUUAUUAAUGGGGAGCAGGGAUGUAUAUAUUAGUUGGGAGCAGUGGGGAUGGUUAUAUUAAUGGGGAGCAGGGGGAUGGCUUAUAUUAAUGGGGAGCAGGGGGGAUGGUUAUAUUAAUG
Molecule: non-coding RNA, 1134 nt
Organism: Pelobates cultripes (western spadefoot toad)
Lineage: Eukaryota; Metazoa; Chordata; Amphibia; Anura; Pelobatidae
Source: the annotation of a GenBank genome assembly